GCCACUGUGGUGUAGUGGUUUGAGUGCUGGACUAUUAUUUUGGAGACCAGGGUUCAAAUACCAGCUCGGCCA
Phrynosoma platyrhinos (Desert horned lizard) is the source of this 72-nucleotide non-coding RNA. Lineage: Eukaryota; Metazoa; Chordata; Lepidosauria; Squamata; Phrynosomatidae. The record is from the annotation of a GenBank genome assembly.